Molecule: ribosomal RNA, 494 nt
Filed under: uncultured bacterium
Lineage: Bacteria
Description: partial 16S ribosomal RNA
Rfam family: Bacterial small subunit ribosomal RNA
Source: RNAcentral
GACGAACGCUGGCGGCGUGCUUAACACAUGCAAGUCGAACGGAAAGGCCUGCUUUCCCUUGUGGAUUGCGGGUACUCGAGUGGCGAACGGGUGAGUAACACGUGAGUGAUCUGCCCCCAACUUGGGUAUAAGCCUGGGAAACUGGGUCUAAUUCCCGAUAGGACUGCAGGGUGGUGCCUGUGGUGGAAAACGAUUUUCUAGUGGUUGGGGAUGAGCUCGCGGCCUAUCAGCUUGUUGGUGGGGUAAUGGCCUACCAAGGCGGCGACGGGUAGCCGGCCUGAGAGGGUGGACGGCCACAUUGGGACUGAGAUACGGCCCAGACUCCUACGGGAGGCAGCAGUGGGGAAUAUUGCACAAUGGGCGGAAGCCUGAUGCAGCGACGCCGCGUGGGGGAUGACGGCCUUCGGGUUGUAAACUCCUUUCGACCGCGAGGAAGCCACAUGGUUGGAAGGGUGGUGACGGUAGUGGUAGAAGAAGCACCGGCUAACUACGUG